GACCCAUUCGUCAAGUGGUUACGACACGGCUUUUUCAUGGCUGCAUCCUGAGUUCGAACCUCAGAUGGGUUA
This 72-nucleotide transfer RNA is filed under the name Arthonia rubella. RNAcentral describes it as "tRNA-Glu". It matches the Rfam family "tRNA". From Rfam's summary of the family: Transfer RNA (tRNA) molecules are approximately 80 nucleotides in length. Their secondary structure includes four short double-helical elements and three loops (D, anti-codon, and T loops). Further hydrogen bonds mediate the characteristic L-shaped molecular structure. tRNAs have two regions of fundamental functional importance: the anti-codon, which is responsible for specific mRNA codon recognition, and the 3' end, to which the tRNAs corresponding amino acid is attached (by aminoacyl-tRNA synthetases). tRNAs cope with the degeneracy of the genetic code in two manners: having more than one tRNA (with a specific anti-codon) for a particular amino acid; and 'wobble' base-pairing, i.e. permitting non-standard base-pairing at the 3rd anti-codon position. The record is from RNAcentral. Lineage: Eukaryota; Fungi; Ascomycota; Arthoniomycetes; Arthoniales; Arthoniaceae.